CCUACGGGUGGCAGCAGUGGGGAAUAUUGCACAAUGGGGGAAACCCUGAUGCAGCGACGCCGCGUGAGUGAAGAAGUAUUUCGGUAUGUAAAGCUCUUUCAGCAGGGAAGAAAAUGACGGUACCUGACCAAGAAGCCCCGGCUAACUACGUGCCAGCAGCGGCAGUAAUGCGUGGGGGGCAAGCGUUAUCCGGAUUUACUGGGUGUAAAGGGAGCGUAGACGGCAGGGCAAGUCUGGAGUGAAAGGCGGGGGCUCAACCCCCGGACUGCGCUGGAAACUGCCAGGCUGGAGUGCAGGAGAGGUAAGUGGAAUUCGUAGUGUAGCGGUGAAAUGCGUAGAUAUUAGGAGGAACACCAGUGGCGAAGGCGGCUUACUGGACUGUAACUGACGUUGAGGCUCGAAAGCGUGGGGAGCAAACAGGAUUAGAUACCCUGGUAGUC
RNAcentral lists this ribosomal RNA (440 nucleotides) under uncultured bacterium. RNAcentral describes it as "partial 16S ribosomal RNA". It matches the Rfam family "Bacterial small subunit ribosomal RNA", at positions 338 to 795 of the family's 1533-position model. The record is from RNAcentral.